CCGGCAGUAGUACCUACUUUUUAAAGUGUAAGCAAGGAAAGUUGGCCCGCACCUGUAGUCCCAUCUACCUGGGAGGCUGAGGUGGAAGAAUUGCUUGAGCCCAGUUGGUCGAGGCUGCAAUGAGCCUUGAUCACGCCACUGCACUCCAGCCUGGGCAACAGAACAAGACCCUGUCUCAAACAAAAAAGUGUAUGUAAGAAUAAAAAUUAAUAGAUUAGGCACAGGAUGGGUGUUUAAUUCUCGGCAAUCACCACUAAGUUUUCAUACUGAGGCUUAUUCAUUCCAUGGGCAAAACAUUGCGCUAUGUGUGGUGCCUGGGGUGGGCUCCAAAUUCCAGUCCUCUCCUCGCUUGCGAUAGCUGUGUGAUCCAUUCCUAAGUUUCCUUAUUUGUCCACAGAGCGUACACAGGGUUUUUAUGAAAACUAGAUCAGAUAAUCAGACACAGUUAAAAUAGCACGCGCUCAGUAAAAUUACAUAUUAGUGGAAGAGACAAGCCUUGAAUAAAUCGCCUUUCGGGGAGUAUGACCCCCUCCCCGAAACCCACUCAGGCGCUGCUCGCUCGCACGCCCACUGAGCUCGGAGCGGAGCCCGAGCCCUUUCCCAGCACACAGGGUUCAUUUCCAGACUGAAAGACAUCCCAGAGACAACUCCAGAGGCCAAGGCGGGUCGGCUUCCUGCGUGGGCCCAGCGCCGGGCACUGAAAGCGCCCUUUCUCCCCGCCGCAUUCCCGGUGUCGACUUACUAGCUGCAAGCCUCUGCCUGCCUUCCUGCGCGCCGUUCCCCGCUAGUCGCUGCUGCUGGCGCGCACUCGCCGGGUUUUUCCUCCCACGGCCUCGAGAUGGUGGUGAAUGUGGCACGGAGGAGCCGGGCCUUCCAACCCGGUGGGCCCGAGCUCCGAAAGGCCCCCUCGGCAGUGAGAGGGGCGGGAGCCCGCGGGGGCCGCGCCCUUCUCUCGCUUCGGACUGCGCAACGCUGCGCUCUGGGCUGACAGGCGGAUAAAACGGUCCCAUCAAGACUGAGAAAAAGCACACCAGCUAUUGGCACAGCGUGGGCAGUGGGGCCUACAGGAUGACUGACUUAGUCUACAGAGAUCCCGGCGUACUUAAGCAGGUAGUAAUGAUGGACAGAUGAAGACUCUUAAGAUGACAGAAGGUGAUUUUUCUGGUGAUCGAGGACUUCCGGGGUAAUGACAGUGAUGAAAUGCAGGGGACCUGGUUGCCCCCAAGUUUCCUGGCAGUGUGUGAUACUGAGGAGGUGAGCUUGUUUCUGGAGCUGUGCUUUAAGGUAAAGUUGAUCAGCUUAAUCCUCCUGAUCCCUUUCCCAUCGGAUCUGAACACUGGUCUUGGUGGUCGUAAAAGGAGGAAAAGUAAUAGUGAAGCUGGCCUAAAUGUUGUAAUCUGGUAUAUGGCAUGUGGGCUAGUUUCAGACAGGUUUCAGAGAUGGUUGGAUCUCUGAAAUUGUAAAAUGAAGUAUAAUCUUAGGCUAAGGGAAGGAUGCGUGUGAAGCUCUGGAGGUUGGUAUAGUAAUAGCUGACCUAUUACUGCAUUUGGGAGGGAUCUGUCAUAGCUUCCUUGCCUCUUAAUUAAGGGUGGUGUUUUUUUCUUUUAGAUUCAUGUUACAUGUAAAGCUGUCCUCAUUUGUGACUAUGGACCUAUGGAGUUGGGACAAUCUCUAUGGGAAGCAGAAGGCAAGGACCCCGGUCAUUUUAGGUAGAAACAACAGCAUGCUAAUGCAAAAAAUUAUGCAGUGUGCUACUGAACUUCAGAGGUGAUCAAUAAAAGAAGAAUAAAAAGACUAAUAAAAGUAUAUUUGUGUUUGUAUUUUUUUGUAGAGACCGAACUGGUCUCUU
This 1849-nucleotide long non-coding RNA is filed under the name Homo sapiens (human). Its description in RNAcentral is "HSALNT0003899". The stretch from base 1303 to 1432 matches the Rfam family "Small nucleolar RNA SNORA61". Lineage: Eukaryota; Metazoa; Chordata; Mammalia; Primates; Hominidae. The record is from RNAcentral.